GUGCGGGGUAUAAUCUCGUGGUGCGCCGUUUUUUAAGCCCGUCGGAAAAGCGCAGUAUUCGGGUGGGAGUGACCCGAUUUUCCAGGUGCUGUCCGUCACCCCUUUCUUUGAUUAGGAAAGGAACUCCCUGACCCCUUGCGCUUCCCGAGUGAGGCAAUGCCUCGCCCUGCUUCGGCUCGCGCACGGUGCGCGCACCCACUGACCUGCGCCCACUGUCUGGCACUCCCUAGUGAGAUGAACCCGGUACCUCAGAUGGAAAUGCAGAAAUCACCCGUCUUCUGCGUCGCUCAGGCUGGGAGCUGUAGACUGGAGCUGUUCCUUUUCGGCCAUCUUGGCGCCUCCCUCAGGUCUCACAGUUUGGAGGAUAGAAUGGGAAAAUGCUGAUUGCAAGUUAUUUCCGACAUCCUUGAACUUACCGCCCACAUGUGAAUCACAGCUUCUACUGCAUGCCCACUCCUUUUGCCUAAAUAUGCAGUUAUCAUCAUACAUCCAGAAUUGCCCUCUGAAAUAAUCACAGACUCCCACUGGCACAAAGAAGAACACAUCACCUAGUCUUGGAAAGAGGAGGAAGUAAGGAAAGUCUUCCAGGAGCCGGUCAGACUUUAAGAAAAUGGCAUCUUCUACUUCCUGUUCCUUGGGAUGCUUACUCUUGGAGCACAGCCACCAAGCUGUGAGAAGUGCAAUCCAUACGGUCCCGGGCUGCAUACAUCAUCAGAGGAGAAUGUUGAUCACCUGUUUCCAAGCCUUGGCAAGGCAAUUCAGGAUAAAUG
RNAcentral lists this long non-coding RNA (770 nucleotides) under Homo sapiens (human). RNAcentral's name for it is "HSALNT0075244". The record is from RNAcentral. Lineage: Eukaryota; Metazoa; Chordata; Mammalia; Primates; Hominidae.